CUGCUGCAGCCAUUUAAAAUGACCUUAGACCAUUUCACCCAGCUGAUGUGCAGCUCCAGCUUUGCUGACAGCCACAUUGGUGGAGAUUGAACUUUCAUAGCCCGGCUCCCACCGAAUAAUCAAUCAAAUCUGUCUCAUUUCCAUCAGUAGGUCACUUCACCUCCAGAAAUGAUGCCUAAGGAGUGCAGGAGACAUGCACUGUACCUUGGAGUGUGCACAGACACACACGCUGUCCUUUCCCAACUGCAGCUGUUCUGGGAUGAGCCGGUGUCUCCUCUUCAUUCCCUUUUUGCUACUAGAGUCCCUUCUCCCCAUCCUGCCUCUAAGCUCUUCCAAUGAGCUAGAUGUGAAAAUGAUGCUCCUUCCUGGCUCAGCCCCAUCCAGUUUUGAGGUGGGUAUCCCCCAAGCCCUCAAGCCAGAGAAGUCAUUUCUCAUGCAGAUGGCCUU
This 447-nucleotide long non-coding RNA is filed under the name Coturnix japonica (Japanese quail). Its description in RNAcentral is "lncRNA (ENSCJPG00005020579.1)". The record is from RNAcentral. Lineage: Eukaryota; Metazoa; Chordata; Aves; Galliformes; Phasianidae.